UACGUAGGCAGCGAGCGUUGUUCGGAGUUACUGGGCGUAAAGCGUGCGUAGGCGGUUCCAUAAGUCUGUUGUGAAAUCUCCCGGCUUAACUGGGAGGGUGCGGUGGAUACUGUGGAGCUGGAGUACCGGAGAGGUAGGCGGAAUUCCUGGUGUAGCGGUGAAAUGCGUAGAUAUCAGGAGGAACACCUGUGGUGUAGACGGCCUGCUGGACGGUGACUGACGCUGAGGCACGAAAGCGUGGGUAGCAAACAGG
RNAcentral lists this ribosomal RNA (253 nucleotides) under uncultured bacterium. RNAcentral describes it as "partial 16S ribosomal RNA". It matches the Rfam family "Bacterial small subunit ribosomal RNA", at positions 524 to 776 of the family's 1533-position model. The record is from RNAcentral.